CUCACAUCAGUCCAAGUGUCACAUUUGGGUUGGGGGAAGCUUGUUAGCAGUAAUUACCAGCAGUAGGUUCUAUUAUUUGCCAGAGUAAUUUUCCCUGCUAAGUACCACCAAAACUGCCUCGAGCCUUUAAUUUUUUUUUGCCUUCCUCGGCUCCCUUUUAAGCGGGUGCAUUUUCCCAUGAUACUGCCCUGCCCGGAGCGGCCGGGGCAGGCCCCAGGCCCGGGUAUCAAUGUGAUCCUGAGAGAUGGGAGGGUAUUUCUGGUGGUUCUUGCUGAAUGGUGUUGUGUCUCGAAGGAUGUAGUCAAGGGAUGAAGUGACAGGAAAGGAAGUGAUUUAGGAUCAGAAAUUCAUGCAAGAUAGACCCCAGCAGGAGUACUACUUCAGUCUUUUCCUUAGCAAGUGGCAGCCAUAUAUUAGAUGGACCCUUACUACCACCAAUGACCAUUAACAGAAAAUCCAGCGGCCCUUGGCAGUUACUUUCAAGGUUAGACAUUCAUUCUGCCUUGAUUCC
RNAcentral lists this long non-coding RNA (511 nucleotides) under Cyanistes caeruleus (blue tit). RNAcentral's name for it is "lncRNA (ENSCCEG00000003087.1)". The record is from RNAcentral. Lineage: Eukaryota; Metazoa; Chordata; Aves; Passeriformes; Paridae.